UUGAUCCUGGCUCAGAAUCAACGCUGGCGGCGUGCCUAACACAUGCAAGUCGAACGCGAAAGCCCCGAAAGGGGUCAGUAGAGUGGCAAACGGGUGAGUUACACGUGGGUGACCUGCCUUCGAGUGGGGGAUAACGUCCCGAAAGGGACUCUAACACCGCAUAACAUCCUGCCUUUGAAGAGGCGGACAUCAAAGCUGGUGAUCGCAAGACCUAGCGCUUGAAGAGGGGCCCGCGCCUGAUUAGCUAGUUGGUGGGGUAAUGGCUCACCAAGGCAACGAUCAGUAUCCGGCCUGAGAGGUCGGACGGACACACUGGGACUGAGACACGGCCCAGACUCCUACGGGAGGCUGCAGUGGGGAAUUGUUCGCAAUGGGCGCAAGCCUGACGACGCAACGCCGUGUGGAGGAUGAAGACCUUCGGGUCGUAAACUCCUUUCGAUCGAGACGAAUGGCCUCCGGGUGAAUACCCUGGAGGAGUGACGGUACCGAGAGAAGAAGCUCCGGCUAACUCCGUGCCAGCAGCCGCGGUAAUAAGGU
Molecule: ribosomal RNA, 537 nt
Filed under: uncultured Acidobacteriota bacterium
Lineage: Bacteria; Pseudomonadati; Acidobacteriota
Description: bacterial SSU rRNA
Rfam family: Bacterial small subunit ribosomal RNA
Source: RNAcentral